This 735-nucleotide long non-coding RNA is filed under the name Physcomitrium patens. RNAcentral describes it as "long non-coding RNA (PPAT_LNC006457)". The record is from RNAcentral. Lineage: Eukaryota; Viridiplantae; Streptophyta; Bryopsida; Funariales; Funariaceae.
AGUAAUAGAUAGUUUCUGAAUACUGAGAAGUGAGUCUGUGGAAUAAAUCAAAAAUUGAUUUAUGAGUUAUUGAUUAUGUGAUUGGAGUUGAGUGAUUGAUUUAUAUGAAGAGUAUUGGAAGAUUAUGAUUGUUUUUUAUUGAAAGCUAUAUGUGUUUCGAUAGAAAAAGUCUCUGAUUAUAGAAAUUAUGUGAAUUCAGAUUGUUAGAGUAAAGUCUAUUAUUCCUAGUGUUGGAUGGAAAUUAUUGUGUUUUGAGAGGUAUUUUGAGAGUGCAGGAUUGCAUAUUGUUGUUUUCAGUUGAUGAAGGAGUAUUUUUACAGGGAAAAAGCAUUGUAGUAUUUCUUAGUAUUUUAGUGGUUUUGAAUAUAGUUAAUUGUGUGAUCCUAACAAGUAAAAGUCAUACACUUAGUCUUUUUCUGUGUUCGAAUUCUCCUAUACAGGUUUAUUUUGAAAGAAAUUGUAGAAUAAGUAAAACGACAACCAUAAUAAACAACCUCCAACUUAUUUCUUUAUCAAGUUUUUCAAUACUAACUUUACAAACUUCAAUAUCACAAUACUCCAUAACUUUCUAAUCUUGAGUUGUUACUAUUAAUGCACUAUCACUUAGACCAAAUAAAUCACUCAUAGCUAUAACAUCUUCAAUUUGAAUUUGGUUCUUUACAUUGUCAAAGACUAUGAUGACUAUUUUUUUGUUAAAAAUAACUUCAAUAAUUCUUUUGCUUCCUUUAAAUUGUU